UACGAGGGGGGCGAGCGUUGUUCGGAAUUAUUGGGCGUAAAGGGCGCGUAGGCGGUUGGAUAAGUCUUGUGUGAAAUCUUCGGGCUCAACUCGAAGUCUGCACGAGAAACUAUCUGGCUUGAGUGUGGGAGAGGUGAGUGGAAUUCCUGGUGUAGCGGUGAAAUGCGUAGAUAUCAGAGGAACACCUGCGGCGAAGGCGGGUUGCUGGGCU
Molecule: ribosomal RNA, 211 nt
Filed under: uncultured bacterium
Lineage: Bacteria
Description: partial 16S ribosomal RNA
Rfam family: Bacterial small subunit ribosomal RNA
Source: RNAcentral